AUGGUUAAGUCCUCGAUCUAUUAGUAUUCGUCAGCUCCACAUGUCACCAUGCUUCCACCUCGAACCUAUCAACCUGAUCAUCUUUCAGGGAUCUUACUAGCUUACGCUAUGGGAAAUCUCAUCUUGAGGGGGGCUUCAUGCUUAGAUGCUUUCAGCACUUAUCCCUUCCGCACAUAGCUACCCAGCUAUGCCCUUGGCAGAACAACUGGUACACCAGCGGUGCGUCCAUCCCGGUCCUCUCGUACUAAGGACAGCUCCUCUCAAAUUUCCUACGCCCACGACGGAUAGGGACCGAACUGUCUCACGACGUUCUGAACCCAGCUCGCGUACCGCUUUAAUGGGCGAACAGCCCAACCCUUGGGACCGACUACAGCCCCAGGAUGCGAUGAGCCGACAUCGAGGUGCCAAACCUCCCCGUCGAUGUGGACUCUUGGGGGAGAUAAGCCUGUUAUCCCCGGGGUAGCUUUUAUCCGUUGAGCGAUGGCCCUUCCAUGCGGAACCACCGGAUCACUAAGCCCGACUUUCGUCCCUGCUCGACUUGUAGGUCUCGCAGUCAAGCUCCCUUAUGCCUUUGCACUCUACGAAUGAUUUCCAACCAUUCUGAGGGAACCUUUGGGCGCCUCCGUUACACUUUAGGAGGCGACCGCCCCAGUCAAACUGCCCACCUGACACUGUCUCCCGGGUCGAUAAGACCCGUAGGUUAGAAUUUCAAUACAGUCAGGGCGGUAUCCCACCAGCGCCUCCACCGAAGCUAGCGCUCCGGUUUCAAAGGCUCCCGCCUAUCCUGUACAAACUGUACCAAAAUUCAAUAUCAGGCUACAGUAAAGCUCCACGGGGUCUUUCCGUCCUGUCGCGGGUAACCUGCAUCUUCACAGGUACUAUAAUUUCACCGAGUCUCUGGUUGAGACAGUGCCCAAAUCGUUACACCUUUCGUGCGGGUCGGAACUUACCCGACAAGGAAUUUCGCUACCUUAGGACCGUUAUAGUUACGGCCGCCGUUUACUGGGGCUUCAGUUCAGAGCUUCGCUUACGCUAACCCCUCUCCUUAACCUUCCAGCACCGGGCAGGUGUCACCCCCUAUACUUCGCCUUACGGCUUCGCAGAGAGCUGUGUUUUUGCUAAACAGUCGCUUGGGCCUAUUCACUGCGGCUUUCCGUUAAGAAAGCACCCCUUCUCCCGAAGUUACGGGGUCAUUUUGCCGAGUUCCUUAACCAGAGUUCUCUCGCACACCUUAGGAUUCUCUCCUCGCCUACCUGUGUCGGUUUGCGGUACAGGCACCUUUUAUCUCGCUAGAAGCUUUUCUUGGCAGCGGGGAAUCAAAGACUUCGCUCCAUAAGGAGCUUCCCCAUCACAGCUCAGCCUUCACGAUAAGCGGAUUUGCCUACUUAUCAGCCUAACUGCUUGGACGUGCACAACCAAUCGCACGCUUCUUCUAUCCUUCUGCGUCCCUCCAUUGCUCAAACGAUAAAGAGGUGGUACAGGAAUAUCAACCUGUUGUCCAUCGCCUACGCCUGUCGGCCUCGGCUUAGGUCCUGACUAACCCUGAGCGGACGAGCCUUCCUCAGGAAACCUUAGGCAUUCGGUGGACGGGAUUCUCACCCGUCUUUCGCUACUCAUACCGGCAUUCUCACUUCUAAGCACUCCACCAGUCCUUCCGGUCUGACUUCACUGUCCUUAGAACGCUCCCCUACCACUGAUACCAUUGGUAUCAAUCCGCAGCUUCGGUGGUGUAUUUAGCCCCGGUACAUUUUCGGCGCAGAGUCACUCGACUAGUGAGCUAUUACGCACUCUUUAAAUGGUGGCUGCUUCUAAGCCAACAUCCUAGUUGUCUAAGCAACUCCACAUCCUUUUCCACUUAAUACACACUUUGGGACCUUAGCUGGCGGUCUGGGCUGUUUCCCUUUUGACUACGGAUCUUAUCACUCGCAGUCUGACUCCUAAGGAUAAGUCAUUGGCAUUCGGAGUUUGACUGAAUUCGGUAAUCCGAUGAGGACCCCUAGUCCAAUCAGUGCUCUACCUCCAAGACUCUUACACUUAAGGCUAGCCCUAAAGCUAUUUCGGGGAGAACCAGCUAUCUCCAGGUUCGAUUGGAAUUUCUCCGCUACCCACACCUCAUCCCCGCACUUUUCAACGUGCGUGGGUUCGGGCCUCCAUUCAGUGUUACCUGAACUUCACCCUGGACAUGGGUAGAUCACCUGGUUUCGGGUCUACGACCACGUACUAAACGCCCUAUUCAGACUCGCUUUCGCUGCGGCUCCGCCUCUUCAGCUUAACCUCGCACGGGAUCGUAACUCGCCGGUUCAUUCUACAAAAGGCACGCCAUCACCCGUUAACGGGCUCUGACUAUUUGUAGGCACACGGUUUCAGGAUCUCUUUCACUCCCCUUCCGGGGUGCUUUUCACCUUUCCCUCACGGUACUGGUUCACUAUCGAUCACUAGGGAGUAUUUAGCCUUGGGAGAUGGUCCUCCCAGAUUCCGACGGAAUUUCACGUGUUCCGCCGUACUCAGGAUACAUUCAAGAGAGAACGAAGUUUCGACUACGGGGUUGUUACCCUCUACGACGGACCUUUCCAGGUCGCUUCGUCUACCUCGUUCCUUUGUAACUCCGUAUAGAAUGUCCUACAACCCCAAGAGGCAAGCCUCUUGGUUUGGGCUAUGUUCCGUUUCGCUCGCCGCUACUCAGGAAAUCGCAUUUGCUUUCUCUUCCUCCAGGUACUUAGAUGUUUCAGUUCCCUGGGUCUGUCUUCCUUACCCUAUGUAUUCAGAUAAGGAUACCAUACCAUUACGUAUGGUGGGUUUCCCCAUUCGGAAAUCUUCGGAUCAAAGCUUACUUACAGCUCCCCGAAGCAUAUCGGCGUUAGUCCCGUCCUUCAUCGACUCCUAGUGUCAAGGCAUCCACCGUGCGCCCUUUCUAACUUAA
Molecule: ribosomal RNA, 2920 nt
Filed under: Bacillus cereus ATCC 4342
Lineage: Bacteria; Bacillati; Bacillota; Bacilli; Caryophanales; Bacillaceae
Also listed under: 2 other names
Description: 23S ribosomal RNA
Source: RNAcentral